UUAGUAGCGUAGNUAACGCGUGAAAUCGACCGCCUGGGGAGUACGGUCGCAAGAUUAAAACUCAAAGGAAUUGACGGGGACCCGCACAAGCGGUGGAUGAUGUGGAUUAAUUNGAUGCAACGCGAAGAACCUUACCUGGUCAUGACAUGUACGGAAGAACUCAGAGACGAGUUUGUGCCUUCGGGANCCGCAACACAGGUGCUGCAUGGCUGUCGUCAGCUCGNGUCGUGAGAUGNUGGGUUAAGUCCCGCAACGAGCGCAACCCUUGUCAUUAGUUGCCAUCAUUUAGUUGGGCACUNUAAUGAGACUGCCGGUGACAAACCGGAGGAAGGUGGGGAUGACGUCAAGUCCUCAUGGCCCUUAUGACCAGGGCUUCACACGUCACACAAUGGUCGGUACAGAGGGUAGCCAAGCCGCGAGGUGGAGCCAAUCCCAGAAAACCGAUNGUAGUCCGGAUUGCACUCUGCAACUCGAGUGCAUGAAGUCGGAAUCGCUAGUAAUCGCAGGUCAGCAUACUGCGGUGAACACGUUCCCGGGUCUUGUACACACCGCCCGUCACACCAUGGGAGUGGGGGAUACCAGAAGCAGGUNG
RNAcentral lists this ribosomal RNA (592 nucleotides) under uncultured bacterium. Its description in RNAcentral is "bacterial SSU rRNA". It matches the Rfam family "Bacterial small subunit ribosomal RNA", at positions 840 to 1433 of the family's 1533-position model. The record is from RNAcentral.